This 220-nucleotide ribosomal RNA is filed under the name uncultured Alphaproteobacteria bacterium. Its description in RNAcentral is "partial 16S ribosomal RNA". It matches the Rfam family "Bacterial small subunit ribosomal RNA", at positions 40 to 290 of the family's 1533-position model. The record is from RNAcentral. Lineage: Bacteria; Pseudomonadati; Pseudomonadota; Alphaproteobacteria.
CGGCAUACUUAACACAUGCAGUCGAACGAACCCUUCGGGGUUGUGGCGCACGGGUGCGUAACGCGUGGGAACCUGCCCUUAGGUUCGGAAUAACAGUUAGAAAUGACUGCUAAUACCGGAUAAUGUCUUCGGACCAAAGAUUUAUCGCCUUUGGAUGGGCCCGCGUAGGAUUAGGUAGUUGGUGGGGUAAAAGCCUACCAAGCCGACGAUCCUUAACUGG